Molecule: ribosomal RNA, 253 nt
Filed under: uncultured bacterium
Lineage: Bacteria
Description: partial 16S ribosomal RNA
Rfam family: Bacterial small subunit ribosomal RNA
Source: RNAcentral
UACGUAGGGUGCAAGCGUUGUCCGGAAUUAUUGGGCGUAAAGAGCUCGUAGGCGGUCUGUCGCGUCGAAUGUGAAAACCCGGGGCUCAACCCCGGGCCUGCAUUCGAUACGGGCAGACUAGAGUUCGGUAGGGGAGUCUGGAAUUCCUGGUGUAGCGGUGAAAUGCGCAGAUAUCAGGAGGAACACCGGUGGCGAAGGCGGAUCUCUGGGCCAUUACUGACGCUGAGGAGCGAAAGCGUGGGGAGCGAACAGG